RNAcentral lists this unclassified non-coding RNA (385 nucleotides) under Hevea brasiliensis (rubber tree). The record is from RNAcentral. Lineage: Eukaryota; Viridiplantae; Streptophyta; Magnoliopsida; Malpighiales; Euphorbiaceae.
GGAUAUGAGCUGAUGUUUAAUGGGUUCUUUAUGUUACUGCUGUUGUUCAAUGGUGUUGCUUUCACUCCUUUCAUAGUUUGUUGUGAAAAAAAUCCAAUCUUUUUGAAGAUAUAGGAAGAAUAUAAGUGUAUUGAUUGAAAGGGGUUUGUGGGGGUGCUGAAAGAUUAGGUUUUUUUCUUGUUUGAGGGUGAAAUGUUGGCAUUGGUAGGGGGAGAAGGUGAUAUGGAGCAAGAAUUUGAUGCAAAGCUAAAGAUUCAGAACAAUUCAGCUAAUACUCAGAGAUCUAAGAGCUUUGCAUUUAGGGCACCACAAGAGAAUUUUACAAUUCAAGAUUUUGAAUUGGGGAAGAUCUAUGGAGUUGGUUCUUAUUCCAAGGUUGUCAGAG